UCUCUCUCUCACGUAUGGAUCUGGCAGUUCUAGAUUCCACCUGCAGUCCAAAGACAUACAGUGAGGCUGAUGGGUAUGUCCAAAGUGCCUGGAGGGUGGUUUGCCCCAUGAUGGUCCCGGGUGAACCCAGCUUUGUGCCCUGUGUUGCCUGAUAGACUCUAGUCCAGUCUGUAGUGCUGCACUGUAUUCCGUGGUAGGAAGGAAGAAGUGGGGUUUGGUUAGGCUUCAGAAAUAUUGCAUAGAGGUUAUAAAAAAACGCAGCCUUGCACAGAUGGCACAGAAGGGUGCAGGGGCAUGUCAGAUGAGCCGUGGUACCUCCUCAAUGCCAGUUCUAGUGACCAGUUAUCAAGCCCAGUCAAGCGGGCAGAGAGGAAAUUAUUCUUAUUCCUCCAUAAAAGUUGGUGCUCUCCUCCAUGCAUGGAUGGAUGGAUGAUUGCAGGAGCCCGACCAUGACCUGUAGCAGCAGCGUUUGUCACCACUCAAAUCACACGUUUGCCUGUGGCCCCCUGUUGGCCAGAAGCAGUUACUACACUAAAUAUUAUGUAUACACAUUCCAUCCAUCCAUCCAUCCAUUUUCCAAACCGCUUAUCCUACUGGGUCGCGGGAGGUCCGGAGCCUAUCCCGGAAGCAAUGGGCACGAGGCUGGGAACAACCCAGGAUGGGGGGCCAGCCCAUCGCAGGGCACACUCACACACCAUGCACUCUCACAUGCAUUCCUAUGGGCAAUUUAGCAAGUGCAGUUAGCCUCAGCAUGUUUUUGGACUAUGGGGGGAAACCGGAGUACCCGGAGGAAACCCCACGGCGACAUGGGGAGAACAUGCAUGGCUCUCAGCGGAGGCGGUCGCACUUCUCUCCCUCUCCCUCCCCUUAUCUUCCCUGCUUCGCUCCUCUCGUCUCGUCUAGUCUACUGUCUUAUACUUGAGAGACUCUCUCAGCCCUGCUCUCCAAACUACGUAAAACGAUGGAUUUGAUCAGCUGGUCUCUCAACGCAAUUGACACCAUCUUCUCGAUGAGAAGCCUAGGUUCGGGGGAACCUGUCUGGCAGGAACGUAUGCUGCUGGCUACACGAUGGACGGAUGGGAGCGGUGGAGGGUCGUGUGCCUGGCAGCUCUUUCCGUGGAGGACAUUGAAGACAUCUACCUAUUCGGAACCAUGAUUACAGGCCUGGGGGCUGAAGCUAAUUCAGUGGUAAAGACAUGAGCUCGUCUCUUGGAGGUCGACGUGAGGAGGUCUGCACUGGAAAAGACCACACUGAGACCAAACAGCUGUCUCCCUUCCUCCAUCUCUGAGCUACAGGAUGGUAUGUGUCACCUAACCUCUGCACACUGCACGCAGUGAUUUGCAGUGAUUUGCAUAUGCCAUAGGAUGCUUGGCCCUUUGCCUCCUUCCUGAUCCAAACUUCUAGGGUCUCCAUGGGUAACCAGCAUCCUGAUGCCAUGAAGAGGGUGUUGAGGAAGAGGAGAAGCUUCAUGGUGUAGUAAUACCAGCCACAUUUAAAUCAACAUGUAGGAAAAAAAAUCACCUGAGCUGCAAAACACAUAGCAAUCCAGUGGAGGCGCUGUUUGGCUCAUUGAGUUUGGAUGCUAUGUCUAUGAUGGGAAGGUCACCUGUUCAAUGUCACUACUGGGCCCCUCCGUAAGGCCCUUAACCCACCGUUACUCCAGGCACUGUUUGGCCCUGCUUUCUCAAAAAUGUCGCUUUUUAUGAAAUUGUCUGUUAAAUCUAACAUUCAUUUAAUUGAUAGAAAUGUGCAUCACUGGUGAAAGGUAAGCAAGUACUUAACAGUGAUAAAUUCAGUGUCUUACUUUUAACAGGGUUCUAAAUACAUAUAUAAAGCAAGCUGUGAUUGGAAAGCAGUUCAUACCCAAAAUGGUACAAUGGCCAAAAAAAUCCAUCCGUCUGUGUCUGCACUCGUUCUGCCGUCUCAUUCGAAACCAAAGCGGGUCGUACCUCCCACUUCACCUGGUGUCAGUCAGAACCAUCCAUCCAUUUU
Long non-coding RNA from Brienomyrus brachyistius, 1993 nucleotides. RefSeq lists it as uncharacterized. The record is from RefSeq and is a predicted model, not a curated record. NCBI's taxonomy places the organism in Eukaryota, Metazoa, Chordata, Actinopteri, Osteoglossiformes, Mormyridae. The transcript has 3 exons.